Molecule: ribosomal RNA, 247 nt
Filed under: uncultured bacterium
Lineage: Bacteria
Description: partial 16S ribosomal RNA
Rfam family: Bacterial small subunit ribosomal RNA
Source: RNAcentral
AGAUGGCGACCGGCGCACGGGUGAGUAACACGUAUCCAACCUGCCGAUAACUCGGGGAUAGCCUUUCGAAAGAAAGAUUAAUACCCGAUGGUAUAAUCAGACCGCAUGGUCUUGUUAUUAAAGAAUUUCGGUUAUCGAUGGGGAUGCGUUCCAUUAGGCAGUUGGUGAGGUAACGGCUCACCAAACCUUCGAUGGAUAGGGGUUCUGAGAGGAGGGUCCCCCACAUUGGAACUGAGACACGGUCCAA